This 253-nucleotide ribosomal RNA is filed under the name uncultured bacterium. RNAcentral's name for it is "partial 16S ribosomal RNA". It matches the Rfam family "Bacterial small subunit ribosomal RNA", at positions 524 to 776 of the family's 1533-position model. The record is from RNAcentral.
GACGAAGGAUGCAAGCGUUAUCCGGAUUCAUUGGGUUUAAAGGGAGCGUAGGCGGCCUUGUAAGUCAGUGGUGAAAUCUUUCCGCUUAACGGAAAAACUGCCAUUGAUACUGCUUGGCUUGAGUACAGAUGCUGUGGGCGGAAUAUGACAUGUAGUGGUGAAAUACAUAGAGAUGUCAUAGAACACCGAUUGCGAAGGCAGCUCACAAAACUGUAACUGACGCUGAGGCUCGAAAGUGUGGGGAUCAAACAGG